UAAAAUUUAAAAUUAUAAUACUUAAAUAGUAGAUAAUUAUUUAUUGAAACUUAAAUAAUUUGGCGGUAUUUUAGUUCAUUUAGAGGAAUCUGUUUAAUAAUUGAUAUUCCACGAAUAAAUUUACUUAAUUUAUAAUUUUGUAUAUCGUUGUUAUAAAAAUAUUUUUUAAUAAAAUUAAUAUUUAAGAAUUAUUAUUUAAAUUCAAAUCAGAUCAAGAUGCAGAUUAUAAUUAAGAAUAUAAUGGAUUACAAUAAAUUUAUUUAAAUGAAUAUUUUUUUUGUAAAAUUAAUUGAAAGUGGAUUUAAAUGUAAUUUUAUUUAUUUUAUUAAAAUGAUUAAAAAUUAAAAUAUGU
Molecule: ribosomal RNA, 352 nt
Filed under: Acrapex minima
Lineage: Eukaryota; Metazoa; Arthropoda; Insecta; Lepidoptera; Noctuidae
Description: partial 12S ribosomal RNA
Source: RNAcentral